RNAcentral lists this ribosomal RNA (254 nucleotides) under uncultured bacterium. RNAcentral describes it as "partial 16S ribosomal RNA". It matches the Rfam family "Bacterial small subunit ribosomal RNA", at positions 524 to 776 of the family's 1533-position model. The record is from RNAcentral.
UACGGAGGGGGCUAGCGUUGUUCGGAAUUACUGGGCGUAAAGCGCACGUAGGCGGCUUUGUAAGUUAGAGGUGAAAGCCCGGGGCUCAACUCCGGAAUUGCCUUUAAGACUGCAUCGCUCGAAUUGUGGAGAGGUAAGUGGAAUUCCGAGUGUAGAGGUAGAAAUUCGUAGAUAUUCGGAAGAACACCAGUGGCGAAGGCGACUUACUGGACACAUAUUGACGCUGAGGUGCGAAAGCGUGGGGAGCAAACAGG